Molecule: long non-coding RNA, 3409 nt
Organism: Columba livia (rock pigeon)
Lineage: Eukaryota; Metazoa; Chordata; Aves; Columbiformes; Columbidae
Exons: 3
Source: RefSeq, a predicted model, not a curated record
AUCUUUCUCCUAUUCAAAAUUAAGUGUCACAGUUACCACUUCAUAGGAACAUGCUGAUUUCUUUCUUCAAUGGCCACAGGAGCAGAUCCCUGGCCAUUUUACUCCCACUUUUUCCUGAGAGUUCUCGCUCUAUCUCACCUCCCCGUGUUUGUGUUUACCCACAUACAUGCUACAACAUCUUGAGAUCACAUUAUUCAGAAAAUUUGUUUUAAAGGAAUGAUCAAUGCAUUUACUGGUUUUGCCCCAGCCUGAGCUGACUCUGGCAAGAAUGAUCCAUUAACAUGGGGCUGAGGACACACAGCAUUGCCCAGAACACCAAGUUGUUGAUCUAAAACUUUCUUAUAUUUAGAAGAAUAAGGGUUUUCUCACCGUCUCCCCUCCUCACAUACAGUUCGAGAAUUUCAAGGGCAGCUCAUUAGUUAGCAGAAACUUCAAUGAAGCUACAGUGGUUGAUUUAUUGUAAUAGAUGCCAGGAAACAGAAUUAUCUUAGCAAAUGAGUUUGGCUGAUAGGAAAGCUGGCCAGCAGAUAAGACACAGUGCUGACGUCUGACCUGCCCGUGUUUCUGAUGGAGUGACGCUGAUUCACUGCCGAGGAUGAGUCGGUAGAUGUAACACGAAUGUUCAGAAGAACAAGCUGCAGGAGCUGCAGAACACGACUUGCAAGCACCGGCCUCGCGAGCCCAGCACUUUCUGGCCAAGAGGCUGGGAAACCUGCUGGACCUUCCACAGCCACAACCAACGUCUUCUGGUUCUUGUGACAAGUGUGGGGAAAUUCCAUGACAAACAUGAAGAGAAAUACAACGAUAAACAUGGAGAGAGGGGGGAAAAAUGAACCCUUUCUGCGAGAAUUCCUGGAAAAUCUCUGGGCUGCUGAAGGAAAAGCAGUCACAGCAGAAAUUUUUGCCACAAGGUCUGACAGAGUGCAAACAGAAAAUAGGCAAGAAGAGAUGGAUUUAUCUUGGGAGAUAAAGCACCCGACCUCCCUCCACUACUGGCUUCUGAAUCACUAGAGGUAGGACAGGCAGGGUUUCAAACAGGCACUUCAAACAGUUUCAAACCACCACAUUCAACAUUAUAUUAAUUUGGCUUGGGGGACAUCAUAAGGUAUUGACUUUCCAUCUAGGACACUAAGACAUUAGACAAUUACAAGUUCUGCCACGUCUUGCCAAUUAUUCUGCCUCCCAAAGGACAAAGAAUACAGAAACGCUUCACACUGAGAAAAUUACCUUUUUUUACAAAAAAAUAAAAGAAAAACUAUUGUGAAGAAAUAUUCUUCUAAAUUAGGGAUCUGCUGAGAGGUUUUUUUCCCUUCUGGAGUAAUAAAGGUGUGUGGCUGAAGGUGGCAGUUGUUCAAGUGGGGAUUUAGGGUGCUUCUAGUAAAACCUGGACUGCAACCUGUGGAUCAGGUUUGGAAAAGUAAAGUCUUAAAAAUAACUAACAAUUACCUAAUAAAUAGUAACAAUUACUAAGCAGUCAUUUUGCAAAUUUCUCUCAGCUUUGGAAGGUCGGCAAAUUCCUGUGAUUUAGGCACAGCAUUUGUUUUUUGUGGCUGGAGUAUGUAUGCAGAAUGGGCCUUGAGAUGAGGCAAUUUUCAACAUUUGCUGUGCUUGUUGACCUGUUUCAGAUGACCAAACAGGAGAUCUCUGCUUGGUUUAUGAUGUUAUAUUCACAUUUAUGGUGCUGAUGAGACACCAAAAUGAGACAUCAUUUGCUACUGCUCUGAAUUAGGGCUGAGCACACAUGAAGAUCUCUGCUCCAUUUUGAUCUGUUCUUAUUUUAUGCCUCCACUGACUGGGGCAAAUGAUGCCACAAACCCCAGGACAGUGGAGAUACGUCCUGGAUCUCUGCUGCUGAAAAAUCACCAGCCAGCAACUUCCAGAGUUUUAGUUACUCUGAAUCAGUAUUAUUAUGAAUUGGUGUUUUCAGGAGAGCAAUUGCUUGGUGCUUUAUCAGAUCUUAAGAAAUUCUACUAAUGUUACAUCACCACAUCACAGCAGAGAGAUCCUAGGAAGCAAAUACUGCAUCAGGCCCUUAAUUCAGGGUCAUAGCACUGUAGGCUGUUUUUUUAAUUAAGUUUCUUUUCUGGGGCAAAAGUAAUUUGUAAAAUCUGCCCAAAACUGGUAGAUUCAAUGUGAUGAACAGCUCAUAAUCUACCAGCUGAAACCUUCUCAGCAGUCCAUCAGUUAAUGAAUUUAAGCCAAAGUUUUUCUUCAGCAAUAAUGGCGAAGUCUGUUACAAUUUAAUAGUGAAGCUACAGAAUAUUAAUAGUGGGUUUAUAGAAAUUGCCAUGAACAUCUACAGAUUUCACUGUUGCAUGUUGUCCAGCUGUGGCAGUCUGAAUGCUUUAGAGAAGAAAACACAGUUCUCAGUUUUCUGAAACAGAACGAGACUGAAUGGGUUUGCAGCAGCUCCAACACUGGGGCUCCUGCAGAGCUAAGGGGACCUUUCUUUAGUAAUUCUGCUUCUUGGUUUUACAUUCUCUGUAUAAUUUUUAUUCUUCAAAGUCAAUAAAUAGUGACGUUUCUGAGAUGCUGGCCAUGAGGGAGGCUUGAUCUUACCGAAACACAGCCAAGAGUGCCUGACGCUUGCUGAAAAUGGACAGAGUUUACUGUUGAGCUGCAUUGGAGAGACUGUGAAGACACUUUCUAGAAAAGAAAACUGCAUGUACUGCUCAGAAUGUAAAAAAAUGUGACAAUAAAAAAGAAUGUAAAAUCUACCUACUGCUGUUAAACUCUUGUAUUUAUUUUUAAAAUUUUCCCCAUAACCAUUCAAGUUCAUUAACUUAAUACGGCUCAUUUGGAAAUGAUGGUUUGGUUUUUGUAUUGUCUAGACAGUUAUAUAUUCAGCAUAUAUAAGCUAUAGCUCAGCAAACAGAAAGCAAAAAAUAAGGCGUAUCUUCUGUUGUGCGCAAAAAUACACAUCAAUGGAUUUCCAGCAUGACUUGUAGUUUAUCGAUGACAGAAGCAGUAUUUCAACAAUGGGAUUCUCAAGCUGUGUUCCACAGAGCAGUGCUGGUCCAUGAAAUUGUGUUAUAAUACAUCACUUGCCGGGGCUGCCAAGGAUUAAAUCCGUGCUAAGCCUGCCGGUGUGCGCACACAGGGGCUGGAGACACGCGGGAGGAACCGCGAGGUGCAGCACGGACCACGGACACAUCCAGGGCAGUGCAGAGAUAGACCCACAAACAUCCCAACGCAGGACCAAGUCCAGGUUUGUACACAAGCAAAACCUGACUUCGUACCUUAUUCCCAGUACUGUUUAGCCUUGAUCACCUUUAACCCAACUCUUCAUGAGGCCAGUUCACUGUGCUUUCCAAUAUGAAAUAUCUUCACAUAUGAAACCCCAAGCCCUCAGCUUGCUGAGGUAGCUCAGCCCCAGACUCCCAGCAGGAUCUGGCUCUUGAACCAAAGC